UCCCUGGUGGCUCAGAUGGUAAAGUGUCUGCCUGUAAUGCUGGAGACCUGGGUUCGAUCCCUGGGUUGGGAA
This 72-nucleotide transfer RNA is filed under the name Ovis aries (sheep). It matches the Rfam family "tRNA". From Rfam's summary of the family: Transfer RNA (tRNA) molecules are approximately 80 nucleotides in length. Their secondary structure includes four short double-helical elements and three loops (D, anti-codon, and T loops). Lineage: Eukaryota; Metazoa; Chordata; Mammalia; Artiodactyla; Bovidae. The record is from Rfam by way of RNAcentral.